GAAAUGCGAUACGUAAUGCGAAUUGCAGAAUUCAGUGAAUCAUCAAAUCUUUGAACGCAAAUUGCGCUCCUGGGUAGCCCUAGGAGCACGCCUCUCUCAGUAUCGGUUCAAAAAUCUCUCAGCAGCGUGUUUGCAAUCGAGCCUUGUGCUCUUUGGUUUAUGCGUGUUGGCUGGAUAAUGAGAGUCUGUAUGCUUGCGUGCAGUCUCUUUAAGUACAUGGAGUUAACAUUAACUUUCGAUCAAUUCAGCUUC
RNAcentral lists this unclassified non-coding RNA (252 nucleotides) under uncultured fungus. RNAcentral describes it as "sequence contains ITS1". The stretch from base 1 to 105 matches the Rfam family "5.8S ribosomal RNA", at positions 50 to 154 of the family's 154-position model. Lineage: Eukaryota; Fungi. The record is from RNAcentral.